UGGGGAAUCUUGCGCAAUGGACGAAAGUCUGACGCAGCCACGCCGCGUGAGUGAAGAAGGCCUUCGGUUGUAAGCAUCUGUCGGGCGGGACGAACAUCUUUGGGUUAACAGCCCAGAGGACUGACGGUACCGCCAAAGGAAGCACCGGCUAACUCUGUGCCAGCAGCCGCGGUAAUACAGAGGGUGCAAGCGUUGCUCGGAAUCAUUGGGCGUAAAGGGUAGGUAGGUGGUCUCAUUUGUCUGGGGUGAAAGCCUUGAGCUUAACUCAAGAAGUGCCCCGG
This 281-nucleotide ribosomal RNA is filed under the name uncultured bacterium. RNAcentral describes it as "partial 16S ribosomal RNA". It matches the Rfam family "Bacterial small subunit ribosomal RNA", at positions 355 to 629 of the family's 1533-position model. The record is from RNAcentral.